UAAGUAAAGUUCAUCUACAACAUCUAAAGCCGAGUAAAUGGAGACAGUUAAAUCAUCCCAUCACAAUAUGAUUCAUAACAUUUAAAACUCAUUUCAAUUCAUAUAAAACAAUUAAAUUUCAUCAAAAUAAUCAACAAGGCUUAUGAUUCUCUUAAAAACUUGGCUUGUGCGAAAACUCAUACUCGGGGACACCUUGGCCCGGGCAUCCAACCGAGUCCGCCAAGGAUGUUAAAACGACAUAUACCCAUAAAAUAUGUUUUUACUUUUAAAAUAUAGCCAUUCCUUGGUGUUGGCUGAAUUUCAUCCUCACGUGGUGGUUCGGCGUAAAGUGAAUUCUAAACUUACCUUAGGAGAUACCCUCCGUACCUCUCGUACUCAGGUAAAAUAUAACAGGUUUACCGUGCCCCUAUAAUAGGCUGGUCCACAAAAACCCGUCCACUGCAGUAAGCUAAUCAAAUAACCCACCAAAUCAAUAAAAAUUUCCACAGCAUGACAUGGCUAAUAUAAUAUUACCCAACUUGUCAAGGUAAAACAAAAUAGUUUAUAUAAUCCACAAACCACAAAUCCAGCCAUUCAUAACAUCACAUUGUUAUAAGCCAUCAAUUCAAACCGUAUGUCAAAACAUAUAUAUAACACAAGUAUAUAGUCUCCACUUACUCAAUUUCCAAAACCAGGAUUCAAUUUCAAACAAGUUAUAAAUCUCAUUUCGUUUGACCAACACUUCAAUUUUAAAACAUAAUAAUUUACAAUUUAAAUUCAUUUUUCUUUAAAAUCAUAAAAACAAGUAUAAAUUACUUUAGAUAGUUAAGAUGAUCGUCUAAUUAGUCACAAUAGCGAGAGUUUGGAGUACUCCUAUUCUUGGUCCUCGGGUACGAUAUCUUUACCCUUAUCAGAGGGCUCACCCCCUAUACAUAAUACACUACACGUAAUUCAAUAUAUUUGUGCCAAACUGUUAUAAAACUAUUUCAGGCUCUAUAUGAAUGCAUGAAAUUGAAUGAGAAUUGUUCGAAUAAUCACUUAAAGACGGUGUUCUAUGUGGGUUCAAUUAUGAUCGAACUAAAUUUGUAUUCGACCUAACUCGAACUAUACACUGUUGAAUUAACCAAAACAUCUUAUUCAACUUCAAAUAUAUUCAUUACACUUCCAAUAUUCCAAAUACACCAAAGUACCUCAAUGAGCUUGAUUGUGACUUUAUUCAUUGUAACCGAAAUUCAUUCUGAUUUCGAACUAACGUGCUAAUCAGUGUUAACAUAGUCCAAUAAAUACAUCUACAUCAUUAGAAAUCAAAUCUAUCAUCAACAUGUCAUCUAUAAAAUUCGGCCAAAGAGGGUUGUUGAAAGGCAUGUGAUUUUCUUGCUUGUUUUACAUGCCAAACAUCAUCAAACAACUAAAAACACUAAGAUAUCAUGAAAUCUAACAAAACCCAUCAUCAAAACCUCUCUCCCUAUGUUCGGCCAGUAAGUAUUCCCUCAUGGAAACUUGUGUUUCAUCCAUAGAAAAUGAAAAAGAAAGCAUGGGAAAGGUAGAUCUUAAGCUAAAAUUGAAAAAUCUUACCUUUGAUUGCUUUGUUCUUUGAAAUUCAACAAAUUUAUCUUGAAUUUUCUUCUCUAGGGUUUUUUUCUAUUCUUUUCUCUUUGUUCUUUGUUUUGGCUGGCCAUGAAAAGUGAAAUGGGAGAGUUUAUAAAGGAAAUUAUAAAAAUAUUAAAGCUUGACAUGUGUCACCAUGUGAUUGGUCCAUGUUUAAAACUUAACAAUUAAGCAUUUUCUCACCAGCAAAUAUAAUCUCUUAAUUAUCCAAAGUAUAAAAUAAUAAUAGGUGAAAUUCAUGGGCUUGACAAGUGUUAUGGUGGUGUAAAAUUUCAAAAAUUCCAAUUACGUCUUCAUGGACACAUAAAAUGACUAUUUUACCUUUAUGUUUGAAAAAAUGUCGAAAUUAAAAUUUUUCAUUUCUCAAAUUCAAAUCAUGAUCCAAUUAGUCAAACUUGGUCAAAAAUUUCAUCCAACAUUCCCAUUUUGCCCUUGGGUGGCAAAAUGACCAUUUUGCCUCUACAUUAUGAAAAUUCCUAAUUUGAUUCCAAAUUAAUCUUCGAACUCUGAAUCACCAUAUUAAGACAUUCUAAGGUUCAAUAAUUCUCAAAUACAUCCUAAAAUCUCUAUUCAAACUAGUUCGAGGUCUUAAUAGACUUAAUUGUACCACUAGGUACGAUACCGACUUUUAAAGAUUAUUCGAGGCAUCUCAGUAUGUAGAUAUGCUAUCAAGUACAUGAAUGACAUGGCAAGUAUAUUAUAGAGUUGGGCUUGACAGCACUACCCCCUUUAAAAUAAAAUUUUGAACUCAAAAUUUCACUUACCGAACUUGGAGAAAAGAUGCGAAUAUUGGUUUCUCAUCUGGUGCUCAACUUUCCACGUCAUCUCCUCCAUCCGAGCAUUUUUUCGCAACACCUUAACCAUUGGAAUGUUCUUAUUCCUUAACACUCGAUCCUUUCAAUCUAGAAUACGUACAGGUUGUACCUCGAACUUCAAAUCUUCUUGUAACUCAAUCGGAGGUGCCUCGAAGAUAUGGGGAGGAUCAAGUACAUAUUUCUUCAGCAUCGAGACGUGGAAGACAUUGUGAAUCCGAUCCAACUUCGGGGGUAAUUCUAGUAUAUAUGCCAUUGGCCCAAUCCUUUCAAUAAUACGAAAGGGUCUAAUGUAUCUCGGAUUGAGCUUUCUUCGCUUUGCGAACCGGAUCACACCUUUCAUUAUCCAACAAGAUACCACAAUUCAUCACAAUAAUAUAAUCAAAUAAGACUUAAUACCUCAAAGUAUUCAAAUCAUUACCUUUCCAAGGAGAGACCUUAAGAAAAACUCUACAUCAACUUCAAAUUCCAAAUCUUUUCUCGGUCUAUGUGAGUAACUUUUCUGCCUAUCUUGAGCUGUCUUUAAUCGCUCUCAGAUAACCUUGAUCUUGUUAUUAGUCAGAUCAAUCAGUUCUAUAUUAAACAAUUUCCUCUCACCCACUUCAUCCCAGCAGAGUGGAGUUCGACACUUUCUCCCAUACAGAGCCUCAUAUGGUGCCAUCCCAAUACUAGACUGAAAACUGUUGUUAUAUGCGAACUCCACCAACGGCAAGUGUCUAUCCCAACUCCCCGUAAAGUCAAUGACACAAGCCCGUAGCAUAUCCUCCAAAGUCUGAAUGGUCCUUUCAGAUUGACCAUCUGUCUGUGGAUGAAAGGCAAUGCUAAACCUCAAAUUAGUUUCGAGAGCAUCUUGGAAUUUCGACCAAAAUCAAUAAGUGAACCAGGGAUCUCGAUCUAACACGAUAGAAACUAGGACUCCAUGUAAUCUCACUAUCUCAUCUAUAUAAAGUUUAGCCAGUUUCUCAAUGGAAUACGUGCUAUAGAUAGCCAAGAAAUGGGCAAACUUAGUCAAUCUAUCCACAAUCACCCAAAUAGCAUCCUUCCCACUCUGCGUCUGCGAUAAACCCAAUACAAAGUCCAUAGUCACGUGCUCCCACUUUCAUUCAAGGAUAGGUAGAGGCUGAAGAGUACUCGAUGGUUUCUAAUGUUUCGCCUUAAUUUGCUGGCAUGUGAGACAUUUCGCUACAAACUCUGCUAUGUCUUAUUUCAUACCCGACCACCAGUAACUUUUCUUGAUAGUCCUAUACAUUUUGGUACUUCUGGGAUGUAAAGCAUAGGCGAAAGAAUGAGCUUCCUCCAAAAUAGCCCGUCUCAACUGAUCAUCUUUAGGGACACAAACCCGAUACCCAAGCAUCAAGAUACCAUCAUCACCAAGUCUGAACUCAUUAGUUUCUCCAUCCCAUAACUUUUGAACUUCCCAUUUCAACUCAUCAUCAGACUUCUGCAAUUCCUUGAUUUGAUUCAACAAUGAGGGUCUCACAACAAAGCUAGCAAGUAGGGUUCCAUCCUCGCCAUUACUCAAUUGGAUCCCUAGAGAUUUCAUCUUAAGUAGUAUCAGAUAAUAAGAAUUCCGAAGUGAUGUUAAUCAAGAUGAGGAUUUACGACUUAAGGCAUCUGCUACAACAUUUGCCUUUCCCGGAUGAUAAUCAAUUACUAAAUCGUAAUCCUUAAUUAACUCUAACCAUCGUCUCUGUCUCAAGUUAAGUUCUUUCUAGGUGAGCAAAUAUUUCAAACUUUUGUAGUCAAUAAAAAUCCGAUAACGCUCACCGUAUAAGUAAUGCCUCCAGAUUUUCACAGCAAAGACUACUGUUGCCAUCUCCAAAUCGUGGGUAGGGUAAUUCGUCUCAUGCUUUUUCAGCUGUCGAGAAGCAUAAGCUACUACUAUCUCAUCUUUCAUUAACACGUACCCUAAUCCUAAUUUAGAGGCAUCACUAUACACCACAAAUUCUUUCCCACUAACAGGAAGUGUCAAAACGGGAGCAAAGGUCAGUCGGUUUUUCAGCUCCUGAAAUUGACUCUUGUAGAUGUAAUCCCACUCAAAUUUGACUCAUUUACGAGUCAGACGAGUUAGAGGAGCAGCUAUCAAUGAGAACCCUUGAAAGAACCUCCUAUAGUAACCGGCUAAACAAAGGAAACUUCGAAUCUCUGUCACCGUCUUUGGUUGCUCCCACUAUAAGAUUGCCUCAAUCUUUUUGGGAUCGACAUAAAUUCCAACUCUAGACACAACAUGUCCUAAGAAAACCACUUCCUUCAACCAGAACUCACAUUUAGAAAAUUUAGCAUAAAGUUGUCUCUCGCGCAAGGUUUGUAACACAAUGCGCAAAUGGACAGCAUGUUCAUCAUCAUCCUUCGAAUACACCAGGAUGUCAUCUAUAAACACUAUCACGAACUUAUCCAAGUACGAGUGGAACACCUUGUUCAUGAAGUCCAUAAAAGUUGUCGGGGCAUUAGUCAAACCAAAAGGCAUAACCAAAAACUCAUAAUGCCUAUAACGAGUCCUGAAAGCAAUCUUGGGUACAUCUUGCUCCUUGAUCUUCAACUGAUGAUACCCAAACCUCAAAUCAAUCUUAGAAAACACCGUAGCACCCUGUAGUUAAUCAAAAAGAUCAUCAGUUCGUGGUAAAGGGUAUUUAUUCUUGAUGGUCACUCGGUUCAAUUGACGGUAGUCGAUACAUAACAGAAGAGUGCCAUCUUUCUUCUUUACAAACAAGAUUGGUGCACCCUAGGGAGAAGUACUAGGGCGAAUAAAACCCUUAUAUACUAAUUCUUGCAAUUGGACUUUUAACUCCUUUAACUCGAUUGGAGCCAUCUGAUACAGAGGAAUGAAAAUAGGUGUGGUAUCCGGAAGUAAAUCAAUAGAGAACUCAAGCUCUCAAUCAGGAGGUAGUCCCGAUAACUAAUCUGAAAACACAUUAGAGAACUCAUUUACUAUUAGGACAUCCUUUAACUUAGGUUCCCCCUUUGAGGUAUAAAUCACAUGUGCCAAAUAAGCAGGAUACCCUUUUCGCACUAGUUUCAAAGCUUUGAUAGCCGAGAUUACACAGGAUGGUAAUACUCGACGUUCCUUUACAAAUACAAUCUCUACUCCCUCAGAAAUUUGAAGUACAACUUCCUUCUUGAAACAAUCCACUUUUGCCCGAUAUGUAGUCAACCAGUCCAUACCCACUAUCAAAUCAAAAUCCUGAAUCUCUAAAGGAAUUAAGUCAGCCUUGAAUUCUUCCUCACCAACUCUUAUCCCACAAUCUCUGUAAUAGGUGUUUCUAAUCAACUGUUCUUCUAAAGGGGUAUGAACUACAAUUUUCUCUUCUAAAGGUGACAGGUUUCUAUCAUAAAAGAAUGCAAAUGUCGUGCUCACAUAAGAUCUAUCCGAACAAGAAUCAAUUAAGACAUAAGCAUCUUUGUCAAAUACAAACAUAGUACGUGUCACUACACUAGGUCAGACUCGUGCCUCUUCCUUUGUGUAAAACCGGACCCUAUAAAUACAUGUCAUAACAUACAUGCACUGAGUAGCAUGUUAUUAUGCUAGGAAAGUCCCUAAGAAUAGACAAAACCCGAUAUUGUACCUAACGGUACACUUGAAUUGAUUUAACCUCGAACUAGUUCAAAUAGGAAUCGUAGGAUGAAAUUUAAUAUUUUAUAGUCAAGGAAUGACUAAAAAUGAUUGUUCGGAGUUCAAGGGUUCAUUUGGAGAAAAAUGGAAAAUUUUGAUGUUCAGGGGUAAAAUCGUAAUUUUUCCACCCGUAGACAAAAUUUGAGAUUUUGAGAGAAUUUAGAUCACAUUUGACAAAUGGGAGAAUGGUAUGAGUAUAAGGGAUGAAAAAUACGUCUAUGGGCAAUUUUUCAGUUUUUGGGGUAAAAAUGUAAUUUUUGACUUUUACGGGGGCAAAAGUGUAAAUUUCAAAAAUUACUCCACCAAGACUUUGGAUAAGUCUGAGAAUUUUAUCUAAGCUAUGGAUAUGUGGGACAAGUGUAUGGUGAAAAUUUGGAAACAAAUGGAUGAAAUUUAAAAAACGGACCAAUGGGAAAAUGACACAUGGCAUUUUUUUAAAUAGUUUAAUAUUAUUUUAAUGAAAAGUCAGCCCAUUUAAACCCCAUUUUAAGUGAUGGGCGGCCAUAAGAAAGAACAAGAGAGGAAAUAGAGAGGAAAGAAAGAAAAGAAAGAAGACAAAGGGAAACUAGAAAAAUUCAAAGGGAAAUUCGAGUUUUUCGCCCGUUUAUCCGUCUAAUGGUAAGAUUUUUCAACUUUAGCUUGAUUUCUACCUUUCCUAUGCCUUUGUUUCCAUUUAGCAUGCUUGAGGAGAGAGAUCUAAAAGUGACAUCAAGGGCUGGCCGAAUUUCAAGGGGGGAGAAAUUGAAAUUUUUAGGUAAAUUGAUAGUUUUAGUUAGUUAAAUGUGUUUAGAAAUUAAAUUGGGCAAGAAGGCAUUAAAUUUUCACAAUACCCACCCUUGGCCGAAUCUGCAAUGAGGUACAAUGAUGAUAAUCUGAUUUUUAUUCUAAGAGAAAUGAAGAGAAAAUGAUGAAAAAUGGUUAAAUGUGAUAGAAAAACAAAGUGGAAAAUUAACCGAGUUAAUGUCCCAUUUUUGGCCGAAUUUUCCAAAGGAGAGAAUGAGCUGAUUUUGGUGAUUUUAGAGGAAUAUUGGCUGAUAAUUAAUGGUUAGAAAUGUUGGAGAGAGAAUGGGACAAUUUAGAGCUAAAAUGGAGCGCGUUAACAAUUUAUCGGGUAAAGUGUCAAAAAUAGGUUAAUACCACGUUUAAGCCGUUUUUGGCUAUUGCAUUUCAUACCAUGCAUUAGUAUAGGAUUUAAGUCAAAUAUAUAGUGAUUUAGCAUUAAUGUGAUGAAUUGAGUAAAUUUUUGCAAUGUGUCUAGGAGGAGAGCCUUUCUGUAAAGGCAAGAAAAUCGUACCCGACGAGUAGUUAUCGGGGCACCUAAAAAGCUUUUAGUUUGUACAAACGGUGAGUAAACUUAUUAUUAUUGUAAAUUAUCUAGAGUUUAUUUUUAAAUGCUCUUUGUGUAUUUUAUGAAAUGAAAACGAGAUUAAAAUAGGAUUUUUGAUGUUUUAAAAAUAAAUGUGACAAAUAAAGAUAUAUUGUGUUGAUUAUGAAAUUGAGUAAUUGGAGGCUGUUAACUGUCUUGAAAAUUAUAUAUUUUCCUAUGAAUGGCUUAUGAGAUAUGAGCGUAUGUGGCUAUAUUUUGUAAGUGUAUUGGGAAAUUUAUGUAAGCUGUUUUUACUAUGCAGGCUGGAUAAAUAAAUAAAAUCACGUUAUACUGUCGAAAUUUUAUUAAAAUUGGUGGGUAGUCACUGCAGUGACGGGUUUUCGUGGACUGCCUAUUAGAGGGGUACGGUAAACUCGGUUAUAUAGUUACUCCGGUUGUAGAGGCGAGGAGGGUAACUCUUGGGGUAGUAUUAGAGCUCACUUCACGUCGAACCCCUACGUGAAUGUGUAACUCGACCAACGCCAAGAAACGACUUGUUUUAAAAAUAAAAAUGUGUUUCACAUGUAAAUGUUAUAACAACCUUGGCAGACUCGGUUAGAUGCCUCGACCAAGGUAUCCUCGAGGAUUAGUUUUGGCUUGAGCCUUGUUUUUAAUAAAAGACAUAAGCCUUAACAACUGUUUUGGUAAAUUACAAAUAUUUUAUGGUUUAAGAAAUAAAUUGAAAACAUUAUGAAAUGGUUCGUAAUUUGUUGUUUAAACUUGCCUCCAUUUUACUCGCCUUUAGAUAUUUAUGAUAAUGUCUGUUUACUCAUUGGGAUUGCAAAAUCUCACCCACCUCCUUUCCAAACAUUUCAGGUCUGUGGUAGGUUGUAGAUACCCUAUUUUGUCGAGGAUUCCAGUUGACAUAUCUACCACACAGACAAUAGGUUUCUAGCACCAACACUGGGUGUAUUUUGGGCCACUUGUCAUUGUAACCAUUAUUGUACAUUAUAACUUAGUAAAUUUUUGUAUGUAUGAAUUUAUUUUACUUACACAUUACAAAAGAUUUCUUACAUGUGUUUCUAUAAAUAUUGUUUUAUAUAAAAAUGCUAUAUUUUAAUCAAUAUUUUGAAUAGUAAUAUUUGUCUAUAAAUCCUUUUUUUUAAAAAAAUUAUCUUUGGAUUUAUUUGAGCCGGAAACAACCGAUAAUUGUUUAAAAUGGAAUGUUUAACAACGAUUGCUCACAGGAAAGGAAAGAAACUGAUAUGUAAGCCUUGCGGGGUUCCAGUUGGCAUUUCGGGUAAUGAAUGUCAAUCGGGACGUCGCGACGGUUGUCAUGGACUUGAGGGAGGUUCCGGGUUGUGACACUUUGUCACAGCAAAAACUCUCGUCGGAGUAUGAGUUUGUGGUCUAGAGGGUGUUUCAAACCCAGCUCGACAAUAUAUUUACUAUGCCAUUCUUACAUAAGAAUGCAUGUUUGCUUCAUUGGGUACCUCGAAAAUCGUUAAAAGACGACAAUGUACCAAAUAGUACAACUAAGUUGAUUUAAGCCUUGAACUAGUCCAAAUAGAGAUUUUAAGAUGAAAUUGAGAAUUUUAAAACCCUAGAAUGACUUAAAAUGGUGAUUCGGAGUUCGAGGACCGAUUUGGAGUCAAAUUGGAAUUUUCAUGAUCUAGGGGCAAAAUGGUCAUUUUGCCACCCAAGGUUAAAAUUAGAAUGUUGGAAGAAGUUUUUGAUCAAGAUUGACUAUUUAGAACAUAAUUUGAGUUUGAGAAGUGAAAAAUUUUAAUUUCGCCAUUUUUUCGAGCAUAGGGGCAAAAUAGUCAUUUUGCCACCCCAAGGGUAAAAUUGUAAUUUUGCACCACCCAACACUUGUCCAGCACAUGGAUUUUACCCAAUAUUAUCAUGGAUAAUUGAGAAAAUUUAAGUGGUGGAGAAAGAUUGCUUAAUGGGUAAGUAUGACACAUGGACCAAUGGAAUGGUGACAUGUGUCAAAUUCUCAUCCAUUUAUUAUUUUCCCUAUAAAUUAGUACAAAAUCAGCCCAUUUCUCUUCAUAUGGCCAGCCAAAGGAAGAACAAAGGAAGAAAAGAAAGAGCAAGAACCCUAGAGUGAAAAUUCAAGAGAAAAAUUGGUGGAUUUCAAGUAAUCAAGCAAUCAAAGGUAAAAUUUCUUGAUUUUGACUUGUGAUCUACCUUUCCCAUGCGUUCUUUUGCAUUUUCCAUGGUUGAAUCACAUGAUUUCAUGAUGGGUAUCUUGCUGGCUGAACAUUUAGAGAGAGAGGUUUUGAUGUUUGAUUUGGUUAGAUUUUAAGAUAUUUUAGUGUUUUUAGUUAGUUAGCGAUGUGUAGUAUGAAAAGCCAACAAGAAAAAUUCAUUCUCUCCCACACCCAUCAUUGGCUAAAUUCUCCAUGUGGAAUAUUGAGGAUGAUUUUGAUUUUAUUUCAAGUGAUUUUGUUAGGAAUUAGUGAUUUAUGGUGUGAGAAUCAAGUAGGAAAAAUCAUAGUAUUGAUGCACCCACCAUGGCCGAAUAUUCCAAGAGAAAAUGUGAGGAUGAUUUUGCCAUAUUGCGAGUUAUUUAAUUUGUGUUUGAUGAUUUGGAGUAUUGGGAGAAAAAUGGAAUUAUUUAGAGUUGAAUUGGACGUAUUGGCCAAUUAAUUGAGUGAUAGAUCGAAUUAGGCCAAUACCGUUUUAUUUAGGUACACAAUUGAAUUUGUGUAGAACACUGUGUUUAGACAAUAAUCUGAACAAUUUACAUCCCAUUUCAUGCAUUAGUAUAGAGCCUGAAUUGGUUUUAUAACAAUUUAGCACAAAUGUAGUAAAUAGCUUAUUGUGCAUAAUGUCUAGGUGGUGAGCAUUCUGGCAAAAGUAAAGAGAUAGUACCCAAGGAUCAAGAAUCAGAGUACUUGGAAUUCGACUCCCGAAAUAGUGAGUAACCUUACUAUCGUCUUAAUUAUCUAAAGUGGUUUUAUCCGAUUUUGUGAUUUUAUGAAAAAUGAGUUUAAAUGGUAAAUCUUUAUGUUUUAUAAGCAAAAUGAGAUUAAAUGAAAAUCAUUUUAUAAAAUUGUCUUGAGAUUGAAUGAUGGUUUUGAAAAUAGAGUAAUUGGAGACUGUUUUCAUGUGUUAUAAAUUCAUGAUUUGAAUCGAAUGGCUUAUGACAAUAUUUGCAUGAAUGGUUGAAUUGGUAUUUGUGUUGAAAUAUAUGAACUAUGUAUUUAGCCUUGAGAGGCUGGAUUGUGAUAUAAUUUCCAUGUCAUGCGGUUGAGAUUUUAUUGAAUUGGUGGGUUUAGCUUGCUGUAGUGGGCUGGUUUUGUUGACUAGCCUAUUAGAGGGGCACGGUAACCCUGUUAUAUUCUUAACUCGAUCAGAGAGGCUUGUAGGGUAACUCCCGAGGUACACUUUUAGAGUUCACUUCACGCCAAACCACCACGUGAGGGUGAACUCAGCCAACGCUAAGGAACGACUAUGUUUUCAAAAUAAAAACAUGAUUUAUGCGUACAUAAAUUUUUAAUAGCCUUGGCGGACUCGGUUGGGAUAGCCCCAAGACAAGGUAUCCUUGAUAACUGAGUAUGAGAAUGAUUUUGGCACAAGCCAAAGUUUUAAGAAAUUCAUAAGCCAUGUUGAUUACUCGAUUUAUAUGAAUUGAUUUUAUUUGGUUAAAAUGAGUUGAAAUGUGAUAAAUUACAGUAUAAUGAUCUAUUUUAAUCUGUCUCCAUUUACUCAGCUUUAGAUAUUUUAGAUGGCAUUUGUUUACUCAUUGGGAUUAUAUAAUCUCACCACCCACCUUUCCACCCAUUUUAGGUUCAGGAUAGUCGGUAGAUAGCUCAUUUUGUUGAGGGCUACAGUUGGACUUGCAUCCUCAAAAACUGUAAGUUCAUAGCCUUCAUUACUUUUGGUCUUUCGUGGACCCACGUGUCACUGUAAAUCAAAUUUCAUACUUUGGUUAUCUGUAUUACGGUAUGUAUGAAUUUAUUUAGCUUUUAUGCUAGAAAAAUUAUUUACCGGUAACUCUAUAAAUAUUGUUUUAUAAGAAAACAGAAUAUUUUAUUGAAUAUUUUUAUUAUAUUCAAAAAGUUAUAGUUUCGCUUUAAAUGAAUGUUUUAGAUAUCUAAACUUAUUUUUUAUUAUGAAAUAUGUGUUUUCCACUCGCAUACUACAUUUUUAGCUGGUUUCGAAAUUUUAGAGGAAAAAUGACCAAAAUGCCCCUGUGAGCGAAAAAUUAUUUUUCUAUUGUUUUGAUUUGGAAAUAGUUUAUAAUCUCUCAAAACAUGAUACUUAACAACUGUUGCUCGCAGGGGAGGUGCGAAAACUGAUAUUAAAACCUUGCGGGGUUCUGAUUGACAUUUUGGGUAAUGAGUGUCGAUCGGGACACCGUGGCGGUUGUCACGGGCUCAAGGGGAGUACCGGGUCGUGACAGGGUGGAUGAGCAGGGGGAUUACUCCCCACACUGGACUGCAUCACUACACCCUAUCUCGACUGUGACCUAGAAAAAUCUCUUCUCUGAUUAUCGGUGCGAACUUGGGGAGAUGGAAUAGCUGCAGUAGCUUGUCCUAACUGCGGACAAGCACUCUUCAUGUGACCGUGUUGGCCACAUUGAAAACACCGUACGGGCUCUCUACACGGCUCGGUAUGAAAUCUCUCACAAUUUUGGCAUCUGUCAAAACUCUCAAAACUCUUCCCAAGAGCAUUCGUCGUUGAUAUACUGAAUCUAGGAGACUUUGUUGCAACUGUUGAGAUAGGGGUCUAGUAUAUGCUACUGAAGCAGUGGUAGCGUUCCCUGAAGUAGAUAAAUCCUUGCCCUUUUUUGAUGGCUGACUGAAAGAUUAAUUAAGAUUCCUCCUCUUAGCAAGCUCGGCUCGAAUUCUCCUAUUCUCAAUCGCGAGCUUCUCAGCCCGUAGAGCCAUCUGCAUAACCUUUUUAUACAGCUCCUUACCCGCUACUAUCAUACGAUCUCUGAUUUCAUUUCGGAGCCUUUCCUCAAAGUAGUUAGCCUGAUCCUGCUUAACCUUCACCAGAUCAGGCACAUAAGACAUUAGCUUAUUAAAACGAGCCUCACACUCCUCUAUUGUCAAACUCCUUUAUUUCUGACUCAAUAAUUUCCUAUUCUUUUCCUUUUGAUGAAAAUAAGUAUAACACUGGCCGUCGAACUCUCGUAAAAAAUUUGACCAGGUCAAAGGAGUUGUAGAACGAGAUUUCAUUGAGUUCCACCAAGUACGGGCCCUCUUCUCAAGCAGUCUAGUGGCCACCAUCAGUUUCAUAUCAUCUUCUAGUUUCAUAUCAGUAAUUGUCUCCGAUACUUGAAUGAUCCAGUCUUUAGCUGCGGUUGCAUUCAGAUCACUAGUAAAAGAAAUGCAACCGAGUUGCCUAGCCUCCUUAAGUUUCUUAGAAAUGGAGACAUUAGGUACCUGUGGUGGAAUAGGAGGUGGGGGUGGUGAUGGCACUAAAGGAGCGGCCGGAGGAACAGUAGGAGGAGCUUGACCAGCCUGAGCUUGGCUAGUAAUAGUAGUGUGAAAGGCAACCAAUGCCUGAACUGCCUUAGGAGGCAUGGCAAGAAUACCAGUAGGUGGUGGAGAAGGUGGAGGAUGUGGAGGAGUCUCAGUCUGUUCAACAGCAGGUGCUGCUCAAAAAGUAGAUGCAGUCGAUUCCCCCUUUACAAGAUCUGGCUGACGAUGUUGAGAACGACCUUUUCCCCUCCUAACUGCUCUAGAGAGAGGUGGGCAUCCACGUCGAUAAGGCAUAAUGAUUUAUCAAAAGAGACAAAACGAAUUUAGACAACUUUAGGUUCUAUAUGCAAUUGUAUGCAUUCAACUCAAUCUAAUUUAACUUGGGGCCACAUUGACACUGUAGUUUUAAAAUAACUUUAAAACCAAAAACUCUGAUACCAAUCGAAUUGUCACGACUCGGUACUCCCUUCGAGCCCAUGGCAACUGCCGCGAUGUCUCGAUAGACAUUCAUUACUUGAAAUAUCAACCAAAACCUCGCAAGGCUCUUGCAUCAAUUUUAUGUCUCCCUUGUGAGCAACAAUUACUAAAUAUCAUGUUUUAAGGGAAUAUAAAUAAUUUUUAAAUAAAAAGCAAAUAAAAUGUAAUUUUUGCCACACAGGGGUAUUUUGGUCAUUUUUACUUGAAAAUUUUGAAUCCUUGUGAAAAUACAGCAUACGAUCAAAAAAUAUACAUUUCUUAUCUAAAAAUAAUUUUAGUAAUCUAAAUCAUCCAUUUAAAAUUAAAUCAUGGCUAAUGAAACUAAAUAAAAAUAUUAAAAAAAAUAUUUCAUUUUCUUAUAAAACAAUAUUUAUAGAAUCCUGCAUAAACAAUUUUUGUAGCGUAAGAGUAAAAUAAAUUCAUAUAUAUAAUAGCACACUAAACCAGGUAUACAAAAAUAUUCUACAAUGACAUGUGGACCCCAAAAUAAUCGAAAAUUUACAAGACUGUAGACCUUCGAUUUCUAAGGAUGCAAAUCCAAAAGCAACCCUCGACAAAAUCGGUUGUCUACAGACUGUCCUGAGCUUGAAAUGGAUAAAAAGAAGGGGUGAGUUUUUUAAACCCAGUGUGUAAGCAAAGUUCAUCUACAACAUCCAAAACUGAGUAAAUGGAGACAAUUAAAUCAUCCCAUCACAAUAUGAUUCAUAACAUUUAAAACUCAUUUCAAUUCAUAUAAAAAAUUACAUUUCAUUAAAAUAAUCAACAAGGCUUAUGAUUAUCUUAAAAACUUGGCUUAUGACAAAACUCAUGCUCGGGGAGACCUUGGCCCGGGCAUCCAACCGAGUCCGCCAAGGAUGUUAAAACGACAUAUACCCAUAAAACAUGUUUUUACUUUUAAAAUAUAGCCAUUCCUUGGCGUUGGCUGAGUUUCAUCCUCACGUGGUGGUUCGGCGUGAAG
This 14191-nucleotide long non-coding RNA is filed under the name Theobroma cacao (cacao). Its description in RNAcentral is "long non-coding RNA (TCAC_LNC001711)". The record is from RNAcentral. Lineage: Eukaryota; Viridiplantae; Streptophyta; Magnoliopsida; Malvales; Malvaceae.